UCAUUAGCAAAUCCUCUUAAAAGAACCUUAUCUCCUCUGAUCUUGGAUGCUAAGCAGGGUUGGGCCUGGUUAGUACUUGUAUGGGAGCAGUCUUAUAUAUAGGCUUACAGCACAGUGGAAAAACCCCAGGUGGAUGAG
This 138-nucleotide ribosomal RNA is filed under the name Mesocricetus auratus (golden hamster). Lineage: Eukaryota; Metazoa; Chordata; Mammalia; Rodentia; Cricetidae. The record is from RNAcentral.